This 426-nucleotide ribosomal RNA is filed under the name uncultured bacterium. RNAcentral's name for it is "bacterial SSU rRNA". It matches the Rfam family "Bacterial small subunit ribosomal RNA", at positions 355 to 776 of the family's 1533-position model. The record is from RNAcentral.
CCGAGGAUCUUCGGCAAUGGGCGCAAGCCUGACCGAGCGACGCCGCGUGCGAGAUGAAGGCCUUCGGGUUGUAAAUCGCUGUCAGAGGGGAGGAAAUGCCGGUGGGUUCUCCCACCGGUUUGACCUAUCCUCAGAGGAAGGACGGGCUAAGUUCGUGCCAGCAGCCGCGGUAAGGCGAACCGUCCAAACGUUAUUCGGAAUCACUGGGCUUAAAGGGUGCGUAGGCGGUCCGGGAAGUUGGGUGUGAAAGCCCUCGGCUCAACCGAGGAAUUGCGCCCAAAACUGCCGGGCUUGAGGGAGACAUAGGUGAGCGGAACUUAGGGUGGAGCGGUGAAAUGCGUUGAGAUCCUAAGGAACACCGGUAGCGAAAGCGGCUCACUGGGUCUCUUCUGACGCUGAAGCACGAAAGCUAGGGGAGCGAAGAGG